This 433-nucleotide ribosomal RNA is filed under the name uncultured bacterium. Its description in RNAcentral is "bacterial SSU rRNA". It matches the Rfam family "Bacterial small subunit ribosomal RNA", at positions 29 to 473 of the family's 1533-position model. The record is from RNAcentral.
AAUGAACGUUGGCGGCGUGGAUUAGGCAUGCAAGUCGAGCGAGAAGGUUCCCUUCGGGGAACUGGAAAGCGGCAAACGGGGUAGUAAGGCGUAGGUAACUUGCCCUCAGGUCUGGGAUAGCCGUGGGAAACUGCGGGUAAUACCGGAUGAUCUCUCAGGAGCAAAGGUGCGAUUCCGCCUGAGGAGAGGCUUACGUGAUAUUAGCUUGUUGGUGAGGUAACGGCUCACCAAGGCAACGAUGUCUAGGGGGUGUGAGAGCAUGGCCCCCACACUGGGACUGAGACACUGCCCAGACACCUACGGGUGCUGCAGUCGAGAAUCUUCGGCAAUGGACGAAAGUCUGACCGAGCGACGCCGCGUGCGGGAUGAAGGCCCUUGGGUUGUAACCGCUGUCAGAGGGGAUGAAAUCAUGGUUGCUAUCCUUCAUGUUGAC